UUUACCUAAAACAAAAUAUAUAUACAUAUAUAUAUAUAUACCUCCUCCCUUUCUCCCUCAAAGAAAAAAAAAACAAAAAAAACUUGCUUAAUGGAGUACCUGUUAUGGAACCAAUUUAUAAACAAAAGAUUUCAGUGCUUCUGUAACUGAGAUCGCGAAAGGAAAGAAAAACUAAAUCAGAUUGCUGUUUAAAUGUGUGUCUCUAUGUAUAAUUGAUACAUAUAUAUUAUUAUAUUGCUAGUAGGCCAAAAGAGAUUUUGUUUUUUUACAAGGACGAUACGUGGAAAGGACUACCUAAAAACUACCAGAACGGCUGAUCAACAAUGUCAGGUCGCGGUUCUUGGAACAAACGGUCGACUGUCGGAGUGUUCGACUUCAAUGAGGAUCGCAAAAAGCGUUAUAAACACAAGCGGUCGCAAUUUUACAUGCACAAGACUGCACAUUUCGCCACAACUGGGCCACCAUCGUCGGCGGCCAUGGUUUCAUCCUCAUCGCCCCCAGUUACCUCUCUGACAUCUCCAUCAUCUGCCGGAUCAUUACCAUCGACGAUGUUACCGUCAGCAGUAGCUGACAGAAGUAAUAAUAAUAAUAAUAAUAACAGCAACAACAACAGCAAGAGUAAUAAUAUUAAUAACAGUAAUAGUAACGUAGCUUCUCAUCCCGUGCUCCCCCCGAACUCAUCGCUUUGUGCUACUUCCAUUAUUUCGCCUACUUCCACUACCUCCACUCCUAUUUCUUCUCUUUCCUCGACAUCCCAGCCAUCGAGCAAUUUGCUCUCUCGGCCAUUACUGUCUGCUGUCCAGAAAUCAGCAACAAGCAGUAACAAUGUGAAUAGCGGAUCUAAUCUGCACCACCAUCACCACCACCGCCAGCAACAGCAGCAUCUACAGAUUCACCGCCAGCAACAGCAGCAACAACAGCAGCAGCAUCAUCAGCAUCAUCAACAACAACCACAUCAUCGUCACCUCUCCUCUUCGGUGAACAAUACUGGAUUGCUCGCAGACAACAACAACACUACAAAUAAUAAUAACAACAACAUAAAUAAUUCUACUACUACUACUAUUACCAACAACAACAUCAGCGGCGGCAGCAGCAGUUCUGCAGCUGGCAACCUUAACUGCCGACGAUUACCCACUAACAACAGUAUGAAUGUGACCAGUUCAGCCAGCACUUCGUUGACCACUGGUGUGGCGAACAUGGGCCUCGGCAACAACAGCCCCACAAACAAUAGCAACAGUAGUAUGGCGGGCAACAAAGGUAUGAUGAUGAUGUCCCCUUGCAACAUGGGGACGUCUCCUUCGAGUGUUUCCUUCCACCAUCCGUUAGGUUUGAGGAACGACGUGUUAGCUUCACGCCUGCACAGUCUCUGCUCGAUCAAGUCCUCAAAUUCGCCGGUUCCGUCGUCGACCUCGUCGGUUUCUAUGAUGCCGUUGCCCCCAAACAGCAACCUUCCUUGUCCGAACGUUGCCAACCCACAUGCCAUGACCACAACUACUGCUCUGGCUAACACCACCUCUUCCACCGGUAUCAUCAGCAGUGGUACUGGUAGUAGUAGUGUUAGUAGUAAUAAUAAUAACAACAACAACAGUAAUAACAACAACAAUAAUAAUAAUCACAGCCAUGGCACAGGGAUCUCUUCGUUAAACAACCUGAAAACUUGCCUUCCAGAUGGCAACUCGACCAUCAUGAGCAACAACAGCAAUACAACUACUAAUAGCAGCAACAACAACAGUAAUAUUCAUAGUAAUAAUAGCCAGAUGGGCUUCAGUACAAACGCGGCAGCUAUUGGUAGCAAUACUAGUAACAAUACUAGUAGUAACUUACUGACUGCUACUUCCGGCUCUGGACCUGUUCAAACGAUUGAGUCUGGCAAAACUGCCAAGAACACUCGACGCCAUCACAUGGCUACUGAUCGAAUAUACGAGUUUGAAUCCAGUCCCCCGACGAGCGAUGUUACUGAAACCCCUGCCCAGGCGGCUGUUGUGAUCGAUUCUCAACAAAGAAAGCCUAUCUGGUCACCUGCAAAAACCAAAAGCCAUGAAAGCUCUAAGACCAAAGACAACAUAAGUGAUUCUGACACAACAAACAAAGAACAAACCAUGCAGACACCAGAUUCAGAAUCCCACAUUGAGCUUCGAAGGGGACGUAGUGCACGAUCAGUACAGAAUAACUCUGUUGAUCAAAGGCCUAUUCGCAGAUGUUCGGAAUUCAAUGACACACAGCUGGCCUUUCUAGAGUCACAAUGGCAACUAGGAAUGGUGUCCGUGUCCCGUGACUGUUGGAAGAUGAUUGACGAUACUGCUGAAUGUAUUGGAAUUUCAUCAGCUCGAGUAAAACGGUGGAUCCAAGAAUACAGCAAAGCUCAUGGUUUAGUCAUAGAUGAACCUGUCACUAGAAAACGUAAAUUAUCAGAAUCCAGAAAUACAGAUGAUUUUGGUUCCGAUACUGGAGGUGAAGAAAAUGAAGAACUUGAGAGUGCGGCGAAAAAGAGUAAGAAAAGUCCAUCUAGAAGCAAGACCAAAGAAAACAGAGAGACGACGGACAAAAAAGAGACUAACCGGAACCAGAACAAGCGUGAACAAAUUGUGGGGUUACUGGGGAAACUCAGCCACACUUGUUCAUCAUUGUCAUCUCUUGGUGUUGAAACUGCCUGUCUAGCUGUCAACAAACCAGUUGUUUUCACACUAGGUAGUAAAUAUGGUACAAACUUCCUUAAAAAAGAAAAGCAAUUACAGAACAAAUUUCUUGCCUACUUAGCCAAGGGCAAAGAUCAGCCCAAAAACAAUCGUAAGAAGCUUGCAGAAGAAGUGAAGGCCUUAUUCAAUGAGAAGUUUUCUUUAUGUUGCGGCAGUACUCGGACCAUGCCAUAUGUUAAACUGGAAAAAGAUCCUAUGUUUAUCGACAUUGAAGGCUUCCCGGAUGGCAUUAUCCUAAAAAGACCACAGUCCUAUGGAAUAUCGGAUCUUCGGAAAAUUUUAAAUGCUUCUGAAAAAAUCCAGUUUCACCUAAAGAAUCCACAGCCAAACAAAAAGAAAGUCACUUCUAACCCGACGCCAAAGAAAGAAAAUACGAGUACAGAAUCCACAGAGAACAAUUUACCGCCUCCUACUUUACCUGCUCAGUCCAAUGACACACAACCUAAUAAAGACCUCCGAACAAAAUCAGACAGUUUUGGUAAUAGUGGCAACAAAAGGAAUAAUUCCACUCCUCCUCCACCUCAGCUUGAACCUGAACGUCCACAACUUGAGUUGAACAUGGAUUCAAAGACUAAACCAGAUCAAGUUCCAAAAUUUGGUACAGUUGAGCCUCAGUUCUCAACGUUACCAAAAGCCUUUCAGACUUCAGGGAACACUCCAGGAAGUGAGUCUUUCUUACACAGUUCGUAUAUGACUACAAAUUCAAACACGGGUUCCCAGGCACAAAACCCCAAUAAAUCCUUACAAAUGAGACAAAGUGCUGCGUUUGGCAGCAAGCCCAUUGUCACAAGCCCUGCAUUCUUGCAGCACAGAACUACUUUCGGUUCUGGGAGCAGUCGCCGAAAAGCUCUAGAAUUAGCACGCUCAGAGCAGAAAGCUCUGGAAGAGAAAUCUAAAAAGGCUGUUGAGACACUGAAACCUGUUGAGCAGCCCAAGACUGAUUUUCAGCAGAAUUCGGACAGCAAGUCUGUGGCCAAAUUUGACAUCAGUUCAAGAUCUGUUGAAGCUUCCAAAUUUAAACCAAUUGAUUCAAUGCAAUUCAAACCUAUGGAGAGCCCUAAGUUUAAGGGCAUAGAAAUUGCUAAAUUCAAACCUAUAGAGAGUGCUAAAUUCAAACCAAUGGACAGUAAGUUUAAACCUGUAGAAACGACCAAAUCUGACAAAAAAUCUUCUGACAGUGUUCUUGUUGAAAAGAAAAAACCUGAAACACCAAAAUCUCAAAAGAAAGAAUCAGAAAACACAAAAUCACAGAAGUCUAAAGAUUCUGAUGGCAAAUCAGGAACUGAAAGUUCCUUGAUAUAAUGCACCAAUGUUCUCUAAAUCCUGAAUUUGAGAUGACACCAAGUGCUAGUGCAGUGAGGUUUUUAUUGUAGAGAAAGUCUUAAAGAAACGUGUGCAGAAAGGUCAUCAAGAGGUUUUGGUCAAAUGGAAAGGUUACAGCAAUCGUUACAACUCAUGGGAACCAGUGGACAACAUUUUCACCAUGUAAACCUU
This 4190-nucleotide unclassified non-coding RNA is filed under the name Octopus sinensis (East Asian common octopus). Its description in RNAcentral is "probable serine/threonine-protein kinase ifkA, transcript variant X4". The record is from RNAcentral. Lineage: Eukaryota; Metazoa; Mollusca; Cephalopoda; Octopoda; Octopodidae.